GCCGGGCGGGAGGAGGGGAACCUGUGAGGGAGGAGCGGGGGGGCGGGGCGCUCCGGGAGGUUCGGCCGGGGGCAUCGCCGCCCCGCGCUUGGCUCUCCGGCCCGCGCAGCCCCGCGGCAGGCGCUGGGGUCGGAGGAGCGCGGUGGCGGGAGCGGCGUUCUGCCGCGCUGCCUGGGAUGAAGCGGCCACGCGGCGCUGCCCGGCCUUGCGAGGCUCCCCGCCAGGUUACCGGACCCGGCCGGCCGCUCGCUCUGCCCUCCCGCCCGGCUCCUGCGGCGUUCCCAUCGUUUCCGAGCCGCGGCGCUGCGAUCAGAGCCGUUGCUUCGGGACACCCGGACGGUCCGACGCGAAGUUUCGUUCCCGCUUUACUUUUUUAAUUCUCGGCGGCCUCUCGUGUGAGAUGUUGAGGACGCAGCAUCCUGACCGUCCCGUCCAGGAGAGCAGGCGGUGCUGGGUUGGCACUGAGGGCUUACAGCCCGCUGAGCUGCCGGCCUCGCCUCUCCUAAUGGCUGGGAGUGCUUUCAUCCGCAAAUCCGUGGUUCUCACACCAUUGUUGUACGACCUUCGGACAGCUUCUCAAGUUGUCGCUCGGAUGCACGUUCUCUCAUGCACCCGUGUGCACAAACCUGCUCGGGGUGCUCUUCUUCCUUCUCCGAUACCCGUUGACACCCCCACAGGUUUCAGACCUGAGUUGUGUUACAGAACUCCUGGCUCUCUUGUCACUUAUCUAUUGGUUUGUUAAACAGAAUCACAUCAGCUGCUGCGGAGCCAAGAAUUGGUUUAAAAUUUUAUCACAAAACUCUCGCUUUCCUAGGAGAAGACAUCAUGGAACUGAUUUUACCUUCGUUUCUCCAGGAAGCGGGGAGUAAAGCUGCGGUGGAAGCAGUGCAGUCGUUAUUCAGAACAGGCCUUGUUCCUGUAGAGCAUUACAGUAUUUCUAAACACAUUAGUAAGCACAGGCUGUGGGAAAGGUUAGCUUGGAAAGCUGGUAAAACUUAAUUACGACUGUCUGACAGUCCAUUAAGAGGAGUAUGGCAGGGUAACUCUGUGAUGUCUCAUAGUACAAGCCCAAAAGGACAUUCAAUGGUACUCAUCAAGUGGGAGUUUUGAAAAACAAUAGGUGGCGAGGCUUUUCCAAGCUAUGUAAUUAUAAUGAAACUAACUGCCAGAGGAAACCAUUCAGCAGCAUUCAAAGCACACAGAUAUUUGUAAGAACACAAAAAGCACCUCCUGCAUUCGCAGCAGAAGCCAAGAAAACGUUUUGAAGAUGCUGAAGCAUGUGACUUGGUAAUCUGUAGGGAAUAAGAACUGUGCUUUUCUGUAUCCGCAGCGGUCAGUGCCUGGUUCAGAGCAGGGGCGGGGGGUGCUGUUGGACCAGAAGGGUUGUGAGCUUUGUCACGUGUCAGGUGAGGAUACAUGAAGUCGUACUGCUCAAGUUCAAAGGUCCACCUGCUGUGACCUGUUCCUCACUCAUAAAGUGGGAGCGCACUGUGCCACAAGGAGCUGAGCGGUGCUGCCGGGUGUGCACACGAGGCAUGGGAAGCUUGGAAGGCAGCUUGCUUCAGAAGGGGCUCUGCAUCGGCGACGGCGGGUUCUUCCCUUGGCAGUCAAUUGCAGGGACUGCCAACUGAGAUAUUCUAGGUGCGUGUUUUCUUCACUGAGGGAAAAAAAUCCGUCGUUGCCAGCAGUGUUGCGCGGUGUUGAAAUGUUAUACUCUGUUAAUGUUCAUUUGAACGGCCGUUCUUCGUGACUUCCUCCCAACUCUUUUUGCUGUUCUCAAGUCUUGCUGGCCUGCUGGCUUUGUGCUCACUGCGAAGGACUUGUUUAGAGUCACUUCCUUGUUUGUCACAGAGAUAACAUGUGCGUGAGCCCAGCUCUUGGUGAGCUGCUGCAUACACCUGCCUUCAGGUGCCGUGUUUUUUACAGGGCUCACUUCCAUGGCUGUGAGAAAUAGUUGUUUAAACAAAGCAAUUCUUGUUUGGGUGAAAGAAUUUUAAAAUUAUCUAUUUCUAGUACUUGUUAUUUCUCUUGCUUAUCUGAAGGGAAUACGCUUUGUUCAGUAGGUGAACAACCACGGACUUGACUUACUUGAGGAGCAGCUCGCAGGCUGUGCUUGCUCUGCAUGCCCAGACGUCUGUCAUGCAAUCUGUCUGUCCAGGAGCAGCUACAGACUUACUGUUCUGACUGCUUGCACUUAGCGAGGGAGCCAGAAUUCAUAUGGUGCUGUGCGCCUCUUCAGACACAAAGGCAAGCGUGAAUUUAAACCAACUGAAACGUGUGUUCGAUUUAGCACAGAACAUCUUUGAGGUGUCUGCAGCCAUGGAGCAAUCUGCCAGGGAUGAAAACGCAUCCUUCAGCAGUCAGUCCGAUUGCAGGAGGUUGAACUGUGGAGUGUCCAUACGAGCAAGCCUUCGCUGCCCCGUGGGAAGAGUUAGAUUUGGGUGGCAGGACUGGGAGUGUUCGUGUUCCUGCAUUGGCACAAGUCCUUGCACACGUACCAUAACCCUGAUUCUGUGUGUCUGAAAGUCCCAGUGUAAUCCAGUAAAUAGGUAUACGUGCCCCACUUUCUCUUUAAACCAGUGCUGUGUUGGAGAGGCACAGUGUCCUUGGUGCUGGAGUCAGCCAGAAGGUUCGAGCUGCUGCAGAACACUGCACUGUUUCUGCAUGGUGAGACGAGCUGUUAGAAGCACUCAGCCUUACUUCUUCUGCUUGGGAAGGAGUGCAGCUGAGGGUGGCGGUGAGUUCUCGGCAUACCACAAGUACACACACACGUGUUUGUUCAGGCAGAUCCGCCGGAGUCUGAAGUGAGCAGUGAGUGGCUGUGUGUGCAGAGGAGCUGAGGGGUGCCAGCUUUCCAGAGCUGCACCAGAAAGUGACAGAUAACGAGCUGGCUCCUCUUCCUUUUCUGUGUGGGCUUUGCCUCGGCAGCUCGUACAGCAGAGCACACGUGAGGGGCUUGCUUCAGCCUUUUAUUGCAGAGUUUUCAGGAUUUGAUUGCUUGUGCAGAGUCUGCUGCAGAUAUAAUUAAACUGAAGCAGAAGUGCAUGACAACCUGUAUGCAGCUUAGCCAACCCUGUGUGUUUCCCAGGCAGAUCAUGCUGUGAAUCACUGAAAACAUGUAAUCUUCUAUUGCAAAGUGCUUGCUUACUAGAGUUCUUUUGUUCUGUAGGCCUUGCAUUUUUCACUGUUUAUGAGUUUGUCUGUAUGAAAAUGUAAACUCUUAACAAUUAAUAAAAUAUGUCACUCAUUAGUUAUUUAGUGUCAUUUUCGUCUUGUCACCUUAGUCUGGAAAUAAUUUCAGCAGAAUGCCCUUUGCAACUCCGGCAGUUCUGGAAAAUGUGGUUCUGUUCCAUCAGGUGGAAGCCACACUUUGGGUUUCCUACUUUUCAAGGAGGUCAGCUUCAACAGCGAGUCUUUGCUUCUGUGGGAUCCAUGGAGCUUGGGGAAAGCUUUGGGAAAAGCUGCCUACUGAAAAUCCAUAAAUAGAACUGGGUGGCUGGAGCUAACUAGAAUAAAUGCAGUAUUUCUUUGACUGUUCACUGCAGGAACUUGGAUGUCUCACUGUUGUUGAAAUCAGCCGUCAGGCUUGGCAGAAAGGCCUCCGGCUGGCUGCUGAUUGCUUUCCUUUGGUUACUUACAGGGGUACCUGGAACUCGUGUCAGUGCAGUGUGAGGCUUUUCCCGCUCUGCAGGGCAGACGCCGCUCUCACUCCAUGCGUAACAGAUUUAAAACUGAAUUAAAUAGUCUUAAGAGGAAAACUUGGUCUCAUCUCCAACCCUUCUUUGGGCCAGGGGAGGAGAGGAGGAAAGGAAAAUAGCCGUGGCAGAGAACGUGAGCUGGGUGCUGGUGGCUGUUUUCCCUCGUUUCAACAUGCUGAAUUUCCACCAGCUUCAAAUCCCAUGUACGUCCCUGAGGUGUGAGAGCACUCAUAUUUUACACAGAAGCGCAGGUAUUUUCUUCUCUGGUGUUUACCAGAAUUGAUUUGAGCUGUCUGUAACGGAGUAACAGUUGCCAAAGCUCUGAAAGUUCCUGCCCUGUUUGUACGCUAAUGCCUCUUCAAGUCAGAUUUCUCUUUGGGGCUGGGCAUAAAACAAAGUACUGCAAUCUCUCACUGAGCAAAAAUGGCUUAGGAAUAUGUAUGUUUUCAGUUUAACCUUGAGCAAAAUAUUUUUGGCAUCAGAACAUUCAUUUCCAUGGACUUGUGCUUUUAACCUACAGCUUUUCAUAAUUGGCCUUUUACAGGUUUGGUUAUUUAUGCAGAGCGAAGAGGCGCUUCGUUCUUUUCUGUCUUUGCAUCUGAAAUCUUUAGUAAAUGGGACAAUUGCAGGGAUUUCCUUGGUCCUUGGUGUGCUGUCAGCUCUGCGUGUUGGAGGAGCUUCCUCAUGUGGCUGUUACACGUUGGUUGGUAUCUGUACUGUGCGUUGAAGCCGUAAAACUCUUAAUUAGGCUGGUAGAGAUUUACACAUGGAUGCGGGUAGCUCACAAGCAUUCUGCUGUCAUCCCCCCUUACUGCACUGGAGCUGGGCUCUGCAUCUGGUCCCUGAAGGACAGCACUCCAGCAGGCUGAGCUCUGAGCUGCCCGCAUUUGGUUCAGCUCUGCAGCUCCUCAGUUCUGCUGCCGUUUGGAGGCUGGGACAACAGAAAUACUGCAGGCGUUUUUGAACACCAGCUCACCCCCACAACUUCUUGGUUGACAUCAGAACUCCUUCAGGCAGUGUGGAAGUGCAGGCAUUUCUUACUCCCUUUCUGCCCUGUGACCCGGCAGCCAUUGUGGCCAUUACAGCCUUGGGCUUUUGAAAUGGAGAGAAGAAAGCAGAAAAGGGCUGAAUUGUGUGGAGGGUUUCCAGGUAAGUGCAUGCUUUCAGAAGCUGCUUGUUUCUUGUAUGCUGCUUGAGACUUUUAUAAAAUGCUCAUUUCUGUACUUUUGUUUUGUUUUGCUUGUUUCCAAGCUUUACUUUUGUAAAAGCUGUUCUAAUUCUUAUCCCCCACUUGGCCACAGGUACCUGUAUUGGGUGAGCACGAAGCAGGAGGAGCAGUUCCCUGUGCUACGGGGGUUGGGGCAGAUCGGGGACCCUUUGGGUGCUCCGUACCCACUGUCCUCCGAUGGGAAAUGGGGGAGAUGAUGAGGAAUUGGAGGCAGAGGCACUUUCUCCUCCAAAAGCAUUGUCCCCUUCAGCUGUAAAAUGCAAGUGUUUUUCACCUUUUAAAAUACGGGGUGUCUUUAAGAAAGAAUGAAAUAGUUGGCCACGUGUCUCACAAGUUAAUAUAGGUUGCUCAGAUGUAGCCUGGGGUAAAACAUAGAUUUUUCUCAUUGCAUUUGAAUAAAGCUUUCUCUGUUUCCCUUAGAUCUCAAAUCAGUAGGAAACCCGUUUUUCAAUGACUAACCAUCGCCUGGUUUGGUGUGUGCUUGCAGGGCUGUGCUAGGUGCAGCUGUUACUCUUUAUGAACCUGAGUAAGCGGAGGAAAAGGAAGAAAGUAAUGAAAACUUGGUGUACAAAAACUAGAGCAACUGAACUAACCUGUGCUUUCUAGUCCAGUUUCAGAUGCAGUCCUCUUCCCACCAGCACGGCCAGGAGCUCAGCUUGUUGGCACAGCGCUCAUCUUCACCACGCUUCCUGACCUCUUAGCAGUGACGAUGCUGAGCACUCAGCACUGCAAAAUGGCAAGGCAAACUGAAGCCCCUGGAAGCGCGUAUGAAAGAGGGAUGUGAGCUUAUGAGAAGCUAGGAUGAGGUCUGUUGGUCUCGUUUGCUGCUUUUCAGCAUGGACUCCUUCCAUGCACUGCCAUGUGGACGAAAAGCUGCUCAUACACAAGCCUUAAAACAGGAACUCGAGGAGCUGCACGCUGCUUUAGCUGUAUGGAAACACUGCUCAAACAACAACAUCUGGCCUGGGCCAUCACUUAAAGGUGCCUUGAUUUUCCUUGUAAAGCAGUUCCACCGCAUGCACCAAAUGCUGUUCUGAAGUUCAGAUGAUGGUUUGAGGGAAGCAGAUAUUUGAGUAGCGCUCUCUGAAAUAUGUCAACAUUUUGUGUGCUGCUGUUUCCAUGGAAACGGGUAUCAGCUCAGAGAAAUGGCUUCAGGAUUUCAAAACUGGAUGUAAAAAAUAAAAUCCAGAGAGGUUAGUCAUUCAUAUUGCUACUCAUGAGCUGAUCUUGUGGUGCUAACCGAUGUGCCGUGAACACAUUAGGUAUAGACCUAUGCAUACUAGACCUAUAGACCAUGCACACUGCCAGGUCCAUGAUUUAUAUGUUUUCUAAGUGAGCCUUUGUCUGAAGGAACUUUAUUAGAAAAUGCAUGAGUUGCAUUUUUUUCUAGCUUGUUCUCUUCCACAUACCUGAAAGCUGUCACAUUUUCAUCACUUCUUUAGGCCUCUACUGGAAAAAAGGUGAAGGAGGUAUUGGAUAAAACUACAGAUUUAAGCUAGUUGGCAAACUUUUCUUUUUAACAUAUAAUGGCUCAGGGAACACAGAGCUGAUUGUUUGGAAUCUUUAGCAGCAUGUAGAAAUGAAGCAGGUGCCAUUUCUUUGAGCUGUUUGCCUCUGAGGACGCGUGCUUUAGAAGAGCCGGCUUGCAGGCGAGGCAGUUAUCCCAGCUGAACACGGGAUCAGCGCAGGACUGACUGCAGGCAGUGUGCAAUGAGCACAACUGUAUGGAGCUGAGGGCAGAGCGCCCCGGGGAUCCUUGGAAGAUGAAGACUCCUCUGUUUGGAGUCUUGCGUCUUCAGCUUAGUGACUCGGACAUUUGUAUGUGUUUUCUAGCUCAAGCCAUGCAUAGAUGUCUGUCUUCAAUAUGAACUGGAUGUCCCAAGUCCUCUAGAGCAGUGGCUCCCAGCUGGUGAAGGGCAACAUGUUAAAGGAAAGGCACGGAGCUGGAGGCUUCAAGGAUGGAAAUGCAGCGCAGAAGCAACGUGCAAAGAGCUGCCCAGAGAAGUUUUUGUAUGGCACAACACCAGAGACCCUACAGCCAGGGAUUGUGGGAGGAUGUUACAGCAGGUACAGCGAUGCCAAGUUAUUCUUGUCUACCUGUUACAGCAGCUCAGGAGUUGCUGCCAAGGUUGGUACCCACAUUCACACCCACUACACAGGUACUGCAUUUGAAGCUCACAUGUUGCUUAAAAAUAUCCAACAGUGUAAUUGUCCUGAUAGGACAAGAAGGUUUGUAUGGCUUGGAGGAAGGUCCUCACCUCACUGCCCUGGGAGUUGGCUUUUAGCAAGCAGCUGUAACCACUGCUGCUAUGCCAGACUACUCAGCUCCUGUGUUAAUCUGAUUUUCAGGAGCCACGAUCACUUUGAUAUGGCUGCAGAAGGAAACAAAAGAGCCAGAAGCCUCACAAACUUUAAACAAUUUAUUAGAUCCCAAUAUAUUAGAACACCUAAUUCAGGGUGAAAUUACAUUUUAAGACCAAAAAAAUGCAAUGCUUAAAUAUGGCAUUUACUGUGACUGCUAUUCUUAGAAUCCUGGUACAGGUUUUUCUUCCUGUGUGAUGUUAGAAUGGAUCUAAUGCAGAGCAGGCCCAGUGCUUUGCUUUGAGGGCUGCUCCCCCCCCCGCCUCUCAGACACGUAAUGAAGAAGUCAGGCCUCAAACACCACCACCAGAGGAAAAAAACCCAACCACUGCAAGGCAUCACCAGAAUGUGAUGUUUUAUUUCUCGUAUGUUUUAAGACUCAUUAGCAGAAUAAUGUAGCAAAACAAAAAUCAUGCAACUUCUGAAAUGUAAAAGGUCCACUGAAUGGGCAUCAAGCAAGACUGUUAUUUCAGACUGGAACCUGAGUACAGAGAGAGUACCAUCACCCAUGUCAAAGGUCCUGUAAUUUCUUUUCACAGUAGCCCUUUUGGAGAAGCAGGUUGGGUUAAUAACCUCAUUUUCCACUACUGUAAAUCAACAGAAUCAUCUCCAUAAAAUACAGAAAGUGCUCAACACAUAAUACAAAAAGUAUCUAACUUACAAACUGGCCGGAGACACAAAAGCAAAGGUGGAAGUGGCAGAUGGUUGGAGAGAUCUGUACCAAAGUAUUACAUUGUAAAUGAACUUGAGUGACUGCAACACAGGAUGGAGUCUCUUGGAACAGUUAAACUCUGCAUACAAGGUAUUUAGGGAGGGUAGGGGUUGUGCCUUCCCUUCAGGUUCCUGCAGUGCUGAUGCAGAUUUCUUCCCUCCCCCAUCCCCACACUACCUGCUCUCUCUCCUUUAACACGUGCACAAAGAUCCCCUACAAGCUGUGUUGAAUUAUUUAUAUCAGCUUUUAAGAUAAGCUAUUAGUUACACAACUUUCUCAGGAUGUAUCAAAUGACUGGAACUCUGCUGCCACUGAUCUGCAGCUCUGGCUAUGAGUUUUGGUCACUGUACGUGAGAAUCAAAAUGGUGCUUGUUCUGAGGCCUGUGCCACUGUCCUUCCUCACCUACAUCCAAGAAGGAGCAAUUUUGAAGCAUUCAGUUUUCAUUCUCAAACAAUAGCUCACCUGCAAAACACAAAACACACA
Long non-coding RNA from Lagopus muta (rock ptarmigan), 8483 nucleotides. RefSeq lists it as uncharacterized. Lineage: Eukaryota; Metazoa; Chordata; Aves; Galliformes; Phasianidae. The transcript is spliced from 2 exons. The record is from RefSeq and is a predicted model, not a curated record.